GGNCUGGCGACGUGCUACCAUGCAGUCGACGCUGAAGCACCAGCUUGCUGGUGUGGAUGAGUGGCGAACGGGUGAGUAAUACGUGAGUAACCUGCCCUUGACUCUGGGAUAAGCCCGGGAAACUGGGUCUAAUACUGGAUGCUACAUGCCACCGCAUGGUGGUGUGUGGAAAGGGUUUACUGGUCUUGGAUGGGCUCACGGCCUAUCAGCUUGUUGGUGAGGUAAUGGCUCACCAAGGCGACGACGGGUAGCCGGCCUGAGAGGGUGACCGGCCACACUGGGACUGAGACACGGCCCAGACUCCUACGGGAGGCAGCAGUGGGGAAUAUUGCACAAUGGGCGAAAGCCUGAUGCAGCGACGCCGCGUGAGGGAUGACGGCCUUCGGGUUGUAAACCUCUUUCAGCAGGGAAGAAGCCACAAGUGACGGUACCUGCAGAAGAAGCGCCGGCUAACUACGUGCCAGCAGCCGCGGUAAUACGUAGGGCGCAAGCGUUGUCCGGAAUUAUUGGGCGUAAAGAGCUCGUAGGCGGUUUGUCGCGUCUGCUGUGAAAGCCCGGGGCUUAACCCCGGGUGUGCAGUGGGUACGGGCAGACUAGAGUGCAGUAGGGGAGACUGGAAUUCCUGGUGUAGCGGUGGAAUGCGCAGAUAUCAGGAGGAACACCGAUGGCGAAGGCAGGUCUCUGGGCUGUUACUGACGCUGAGGAGCGAAAGCAUGGGGAGCGAACAGGAUUAGAUACCCUGGUAGUCCAUGCCGUAAACGUUGGGCACUAGGUGUGGGGGACAUUCCACGUUUUCCGCGCCGUAGCUAACGCAUUAAGUGCCCCGCCUGGGGAGUACGGCCGCAAGGCUAAAACUCAAAGGAAUUGACGGGGGCCCGCACAAGCGGCGGAGCAUGCGGAUUAAUUCGAUGCAACGCGAAGAACCUUACCAAGGCUUGACAUAUACCGGAUCGUUCCAGAGAUGGUUCUUCCCCUUUGGGGUCGGUAUACAGGUGGUGCAUGGUGUCGUCAGCUCGUGUCGUGAGAUGUUGGGUUAAGUCCCGCAACGAGCGCAACCCUCGUUCCAUGUUG
Molecule: ribosomal RNA, 1071 nt
Filed under: Actinomycetota bacterium
Lineage: Bacteria; Bacillati; Actinomycetota
Description: bacterial SSU rRNA
Rfam family: Bacterial small subunit ribosomal RNA
Source: RNAcentral